Molecule: long non-coding RNA, 343 nt
Filed under: Elaeis guineensis (African oil palm)
Lineage: Eukaryota; Viridiplantae; Streptophyta; Magnoliopsida; Arecales; Arecaceae
Description: long non-coding RNA (EGUI_LNC078862)
Source: RNAcentral
UGAUAGAAGGACAUUUUCUAUGUUACUGUUCGGUUUGUGUUUUGAUUGUUAAUGAAUACCACUAAUAGCACUAAACUAUUUUUUGGUUGUGAAUGAUUUUGUGUUUAUUGUUAGAUGGAUAUCAACAAAAAUUAGAUAAAUGCUAGAGGUAUUUUUUUGUUUGAAUAUCGAAAAGGAGUUCGAGAUUUUAUUGAGUUUACAUGGCAUAAGGCUGACAGUGCUAGUCGAAUAAAGUGUCCAUGUAAGAGAUGUGUCAAUUUGGUAUAUCAUUACAUAACACUUGUUGAGGAGCAUCUGCUACAAUAUGGUAUGGAUAAGAAUUAUACUUGUUGGAUAUGGCAUG